AAAGGUGGAGUCAGAAGCUCUCUUUCUCAGUUUCUCUGUUCUAUUUUCGGAGAGUGUGGAGCUCUCAAUCUCAUCUCUACCUCAUUGCCUCUCUUUCUAUUUUCACAACUCAUAUCAUCAAAUCAACCAAGCACUAGUCUCUAGAGAUUCAUAUAUGAUAGGGAUAAAAUAUUAUCAUCUAAAAAAAGAGAGAUUAGAUAUAAAUACCAAAUUUGGGUGGUGCUGCGGUGGACUAGUGGUGGCGGCGUGGUGCUGAUCUGGUCUGCUACUCUGCUUCUACUCUGGUCUGGUUUGGUUCCGCUGCCGUUUGCCCAACCCCGCCCACUCCCAGGUCCUAGUAUUUAAUUCCUCAUAUGAGGGUGUUGGCAAGGCUGACUUGGACUCUGAAGGAGGAGGUGGUGGCGAUGAUGAUGAAGAAUUCGAAGUGAAUCCAGAAGCAGGAUGUGGUGGUGGGAAAUGAUUAGUACGGCAAUCAUACGGUUCUCUAAAUUCUUGAUGGCCGGUUCCACAACUUGUAUUGGGAGACGGCGGUAAUGGUAGAAAUCUUCUUCCUAAAGCCUCCGGGAGCAAACUAAUGAGAGUAACAAAGACUAUAAAAGAAGUGGCAGUGGCAAUGAAGGACAUGGAAGCUAUACUUUCUCUUGCCAUUGGUAAUUACUUAUCCUUUCUAUAUGUAACUCUUAUCACUCCAGAAAUAUAUAGUUCGCGUGGUGUGGAAAAAUCAACCUUUUGCGUGUGGAAAUUUUGAUCAGUCUUCACAAAUAAUGCAUUUUUUUUUUUUGGGCGUGUGA
This is a long non-coding RNA of Quercus robur (English oak), 791 nucleotides long. RefSeq lists it as uncharacterized. NCBI's taxonomy places the organism in Eukaryota, Viridiplantae, Streptophyta, Magnoliopsida, Fagales, Fagaceae. The record is from RefSeq and is a predicted model, not a curated record. The transcript has 2 exons.